AAGUCGUAACAAGGUUUCCGUAGGUGAACCUGCGGAAGGAUCAUUAUUGAAUAAACUUAGCAGGUUGUAGCUGGCUCCUUGGAGCAUGUGCACAUCUGUUACUUUUAUACUUUUCCACCUGUGCACUAUUUGUAGACUUUGGAUUUUUCUCGAGGAUUAACUCGGAUUGGAGAUAUGCUGUGUGAAUAACUGGCUUAUCUUGCAUUUCCAAAGUCUAUGUUUUCAUAUACUCUAUACAAUGUUUUUGAAUGUAUAAACAUGAAUCUUGUAUUCAUUUAAACAAAAUACAACUUUCAGCAACGGAUCUCUUGGCUCUC
RNAcentral lists this unclassified non-coding RNA (317 nucleotides) under air metagenome. RNAcentral's name for it is "partial contains small subunit ribosomal RNA, internal transcribed spacer 1, and 5.8S ribosomal RNA". The stretch from base 1 to 46 matches the Rfam family "Eukaryotic small subunit ribosomal RNA", at positions 1786 to 1831 of the family's 1831-position model. The record is from RNAcentral.